Long non-coding RNA from Haliotis rufescens (red abalone), 1730 nucleotides. RefSeq lists it as uncharacterized. NCBI's taxonomy places the organism in Eukaryota, Metazoa, Mollusca, Gastropoda, Lepetellida, Haliotidae. The transcript has 8 exons. The record is from RefSeq and is a predicted model, not a curated record.
UUCAGGUUAUGCUUCAUAGUUACCAUAUGUUUGUAUUGUUCGCAUAUACGUAUCUAUAUUCAAAACGGGAGCAGCUUGGAAUGUUGCGUGUCAUGUUGUUCAUUGAUCAUUUAGCAAUGGGUCUGCACCAGCACUGUUAACGAGUCUUUUCUGUUUCCAUACAUGAUGAUUUAUCAGUCGUGCACUGAUAGGAAAUGUCUGGAGGACGUUUCGUAACACGUGACCUACAUGCACACAACGACGCCAUUCGUGAAUAUGCACACAAGAAACGUGGAAUAUCUGGCAAUAUGCCUCCACCUGUGGCUUGCUAUUUCCUAUUCAGCAAUCCCCACAAAGGAUAUGGGAAAUGUACAAACGUGUGAAGGAAAAACAGAAUAUUUUCCCUAGAUCAAUGAUACUCAAAAUCUUCGAAAAGUUCGAUAUGAUUUUAAAAACAAAAAUAUUGCAAAUUCAUUCCGUCCAAAUUUCUCAUCGGUGAAAUUCACAGGUGAAACACUGAAAUACCGUCUACGUGUAUUGGAAGAAGACGACAUCGUUGCAUUUCAAAUAGAUAAUGUAACGACGGCAGACAGUGGGGAAUAUAAUAUCAGUUUGACCUAUAUCAACGGGGUCAAGAAGGGACGCAUUGGACGUUUGGACGUGAAAGAAAAUGUCUUAGGGAACUUCAACAUAACAUGUGAAAACGACACAGAGACAGUCGUCUGUACAUGUGGGAAUAAGACUGGCAGCGAUCUGUACACAUGGGUCUUUGAAGGGCAACCAAUAGUGAUACCUGAAAUGACCAGAAACGAAUCCAAACUUGAAUUGGGAGUCUUUCCAAUAAACGGGUCAGUUUUCUGCAAACGCCGUUCCGACUGUAAAACGUCAAAUACCUUCUACUUCAAAUCAGAUCAUGGGCCUACGAUCUCCUUAGCGGGCGAGAACAUCCCUUACGACACUGUGGCAAUCGCUGUAAUUAUUCCUGUCCUCACCAUCGCUAUCGUCGCUGUCACGACAUCCUAGAUCAAGUGAUGCUCCGAAUGGCACCUGCAACCAUGUUGAAACUUCAGCAUGGAUCUAGCCAUUUGUAUUGUACCGUUAAUAUCUGUAGGAGCUUUCUGCAUAUUGUUACCACAGAAUAACAAGUGGUAGUUUACAGCUUACUCUUCGUUAGCUUGUAGUUUAGUGUUGGCGAUAUGUUAACGAUUUUACGAGCGCUUCUAGUACUUCCUACCUCCGGGCACCCCCGACAACCUGAGAGAUGAUGAGGAUGAAUGUAGACAGCGGAGUACCCAUAAUAAAACCACGUGAUGGGUGCUACUAGGACAGUAUGUGUUAUCUGGGGGAGUGGGUUGUCAUUGGUUGAAGGAAACAUCGUAAAAUCGAUGUAAUUUGAGUCAGCUGCUUUGUAGGAGAGUAUGAUUGAUAUCUUUAUUUGUUGUUGAGUUUUGAGGUUAUUUCACAGUAUUGUAGUAAAGGAUAGUUAUUAAAGGCAAAGGUAACCGUGAAUAUGUUCCAUUUAUCAUUUAAGUUUUAGAGGAACCUAACUCUUCUCUUCUAUACUUUCAUUUUGAUUCCAACUUCCACUGAAACAGUGCUAACCUACCCUGAUACAUAUGUCCUGAAAAGUAGCUUUGUGGUUUUGCCAGAUUGUUUCAAGACAAUUGAGUAUGUGAAGUUUUACAGUCAUCAUGUUAUCAAAACAUUUUAAUGUUUGUGUGUGAUCGCAUUUAUUUUUACCUGGGUGUAUA